Molecule: long non-coding RNA, 1161 nt
Filed under: Apteryx haastii (Great spotted kiwi)
Lineage: Eukaryota; Metazoa; Chordata; Aves; Apterygiformes; Apterygidae
Description: lncRNA (ENSAHAG00000006487.1)
Source: RNAcentral
ACUGGGGCUUCAUCUCGCUGGCAGUGACAGGCACUACUGCGGAUCGGGGAGCCCAGAGCAUGGGAGCAGCUUCUGCCUGGCUCAGCUGCCGGAGAACGAGGCCACCAACCCCUCCGAGUACGUGUUCAGCUUCCACCUGGAGAUCCAGGGACCGUGCUUGCUGGYGGAUAGGACUACUGGGGCCAGGCCAUGUUACCACUGCCUCCAGGCCAUCUCCACGCUCUUGCUGCUUCCCUGCUCCCCAGAUGUGGAGCCCUUUUUGGCACUUUAACUGUGCUGGGGAGGAUUCACCAGCACAGCGCUGGUGGCAUCCCACCCCUUCCYACACUGGUUGCACCUCUCUGGCCAUUGCAUGUCUGCAGCUGAUGCUCUCGUGCACCAUCCAGGCAGGGGUUAAUGCGGGCAACCUGCGAUCGGGCUGUUGGUGCUCCAGAAGCGUUGCGCAGCCCACUUGGUUCCUGUUCUCAGGCGUCUGUCCUUUGCCAUCUUCCCUCGCUGUCUCCUCUCUCCGAUCUCCCCCGCCCUCAGCCUCUAACUGCACCUCGGUUUCCCCAGGCAGGUGUCGAGAGCCCCACGCAUGAGCUCCRAGCAGAUGCCGACCCCUCCGCUUGCUCCGCCAAGAGCGUCAUGAUCACGCUGGCCAGUAAGCCCGCUUUCAACAGACCAGUGGAGAUCCUGAUCCAUCCAAGCGGUAGGUGGGCUCUGCUUGCUCUCUGCUGCUCUUGCCCCUUCCUCGGACCCUGUCCCGUAGCGCUGGAGACAGGUGGAAUUAGCUCUGGUUUGGAGAUGUCAGGCAAACGUGGUSGUUGGGCCUUCUGUGGGAUAAACCAGACCCCUCCAGUUUGCCUGUGCUGGCCCCAAACCCAGCGUUACUGCUGUGCCUUUGCAAUUGCGGGUGCCUGCAUCUCCUGCAAAUCUGAAGUUCAACCAAGGCUGUCCUUCACUCGAUCCUCUGCAUUUCCAGAGCCCUACAUGCCUCAUAUUUUAAUGGAAGAUGGCGAUAUGACACCUGCGGAGUACGACCAACWCCUGAAGGGGAAGAAUGAUUUAAUUAAAGGCACUGAGAAGGACCCCAGUGCUGAGAAAAAGACCGAAAUCCUCCGGAAGCAGGAACAAGGAUCUUCCCCACCACCCCGUCAUCGUGCUCAACUUCUGCCCUGA